UAGGGAAUCUUCGGCAAUGGGGGGAACCCUGACCGAGCAACGCCGCGUGAGUGAAGAAGGUUUUCGGAUCGUAAAGCUCUGUUGUUAAGGAAGAACGAGUGUGAGAAUGGAAAGUUCAUGCUGUGACGGUACUUAACCAGAAAGGGACGGCUAACUACGUGCCAGCAGCCGCGGUAAUACGUAGGUCCCGAGCGUUGUCCGGAUUUAUUGGGCGUAAAGCGAGCGCAGGCGGUUAGAAAAGUCUGAAGUGAAAGGCAGUGGCUCAACCAUUGUAGGCUUUGGAAACUGUUUAACUUGAGUGCAGAAGGGGAGAGUGGAAUUCCAUGUGUAGCGGUGAAAUGCGUAGAUAUAUGGAGGAACACCAGUGGCGAAGGCGACUCUCUGGUCUGUAACUGACGCUGAGGCUCGAAAGCGUGGGUAGCAAACAGG
This 429-nucleotide ribosomal RNA is filed under the name Bacteroidota bacterium. RNAcentral describes it as "Bacteroidetes bacterium partial 16S ribosomal RNA". It matches the Rfam family "Bacterial small subunit ribosomal RNA", at positions 355 to 776 of the family's 1533-position model. Lineage: Bacteria; Pseudomonadati; Bacteroidota. The record is from RNAcentral.